UGAACCAGUGAGGUGCUGGUUGAAGCUUGAGAAGGUCUUCGAGCUUUGUUGAGCUGAAUUUGUACUCUUAGAAGCUGAUUUGGAAGCUGCUCUAAUCAAGGCGAGAGGGUGUUUGACCCUUGGACCGCCUUCGUUUGGCCUUGGAGGGCCUUCUGGAAGCUUAACGUGAGGUAUUGAACUAAGCCAAAACAGGGAUUUAAGCUAUUCCUAUGUAUUAAGUGCAAUUGCGCCGAAAUUGGACAUUUCAAUCGUGAUUUGAUACGAUCUUUGUG
Molecule: long non-coding RNA, 272 nt
Organism: Ananas comosus (pineapple)
Lineage: Eukaryota; Viridiplantae; Streptophyta; Magnoliopsida; Poales; Bromeliaceae
Exons: 3
Source: RefSeq, a predicted model, not a curated record